RNAcentral lists this small RNA (25 nucleotides) under Arabidopsis thaliana (thale cress). RNAcentral describes it as "ATSL009780". Lineage: Eukaryota; Viridiplantae; Streptophyta; Magnoliopsida; Brassicales; Brassicaceae. The record is from RNAcentral.
AAAAGAGAAGAAGAAGAAGAAAUCA